Pelobates cultripes (western spadefoot toad) is the source of this 254-nucleotide non-coding RNA. The record is from the annotation of a GenBank genome assembly. Lineage: Eukaryota; Metazoa; Chordata; Amphibia; Anura; Pelobatidae.
AGCACUAUGGGACAGGAGGGGGAGCUCUGAGAGACCGGUGGGAGAGCACUAAUGUGCUGGAAGGGAUAUCACUAAGGGACAGGAGAUGAGGGGAGAACACUAAGGGACUGGAAGGGAGGGUAGAGCACUGAGGGACAUGAGGGGAGAACACUAAUUGACAGGAGAGAAGAGAACCAUAAAAAAAUAAAGAGCUGCUCUCCUCUCAGCCCCUAUCCUACCCGACAAAUCCUCUACACUACACACCUACACAAUGC